Molecule: ribosomal RNA, 370 nt
Filed under: uncultured organism
Description: bacterial SSU rRNA
Rfam family: Bacterial small subunit ribosomal RNA
Source: RNAcentral
CGAAGGGGGCUAGCGUUGCUCGGAUUUACUGGGCGUAAAGGGCGCGUAGGCGGACAGUUUAGUCAGAGGUGAAAGCCCGGGGCUCAACCCCGGAAUUGCCUUUGAUACUGGCUGUCUUGAGUACGGGAGAGGUGUGUGGAACUCCGAGUGUAGAGGUGAAAUUCGUAGAUAUUCGGAAGAACACCAGUGGCGAAGGCGACACACUGGCCCGUUACUGACGCUGAGGCGCGAAAGCGUGGGGAGCAAACAGGAUUAGAUACCCUGGUAGUCCACGCCGUAAACGAUGAUUGCUAGUUGUCGGCACGCAUGCGUGUCGGUGACGCAGCUAACGCAUUAAGCAAUCCGCCUGGGGAGUACGGUCGCAAGAUUA